Long non-coding RNA from Saccostrea cuccullata (small rock oyster), 994 nucleotides. RefSeq lists it as uncharacterized. The transcript has 5 exons. NCBI's taxonomy places the organism in Eukaryota, Metazoa, Mollusca, Bivalvia, Ostreida, Ostreidae. The record is from RefSeq and is a predicted model, not a curated record.
GUAGUACAUGUCAAUGUGUAGGCCAUGCAGUACAUACUUAAACUAAAAGACGAGCGGAAUGGGAAAGCCCGUUCAGAAGUUCUGGAUGACGGGUUAUUAUCAAAGGACCACGAGUUUUACCAUGCCCUGACAGAAGACGAUGUUCCAAAUGAAGUAGAGAAUAUGAAGCCGAAAGAUUUGACAGUGGAACUCUUCAGAUUGCCUGUUGCCUCGUGAAAUCUGACGUUUAAAGUAGAGAAGAUUGGGUCAGUAUCCACGUCUGAUUUGGACAGCAAGGAUGUGUUUAUUGUUGACAUCAAGAAAGCUGUCUACGUGUGGAUUUGAUUGGAAACUACUGUUGCUGAGAGAAAGAAUGCAAUGACAUAUGCCCAUAAAUAUCUACAGAAAACUGACCAUCCACUUUUGAGCGUCACGUGCCUGUCUGAAGGAAAACAUGACAGACAGAUCAGCAUGGCUCUCAGCGCCUAGUUACACGAGAACAAAGGCCGAUGCUAAUCUAAUCAUAUAUAUUUGAUACUGAGAGAUUACAGUUUCUGAGCUGAAAGAACUUUUAAAUAUGUUGUUUUCAUAUCGGAUAUAAUCGUAGUUUAAAUGUUUUGAUGUAGAUUUAGCAAUACAAAGUUUUCUAUUCAAUGACAUGAAUUUCUUUUCCACUAAUAUAUCUAUAAUCCAGAUUUAGCAAUAUGUAUACUUACAGAUGGAUUUAUAUGUAUGUUCAGGGGAAAAUUACCACCAAUUGUUGGAGAAACUCAUCUUUAUUUCUCUUUAUCACUAACCCUUUUCCCCUUUAUAUUCCUAUUUUUUUAUUUUUUUAUUUUUUAAUAUAUAUACAAUUAUAGACGUAACUUAUAUGAAGUGUAAAUUAUAAGGGUUUUUUGGAAUUUAUGAUUAUUUUUGGAAUACUUUUUCAUUCCUUUCUUUUUCUCUAGUUUUUAUAUAGUGCUAUUUUCUUGUGCAAUAAUGCAGCAUAUCGCAGAUCAUCCAUAUAUAGAAA